UCCACGCCGUAAACGAUGGAUACUAGUUGUUGGGCAUUAGCUCAGUGACUAAGCGAAAGUGAUAAGUAUCCCACCUGGGGAGUACGGUCGCGAGACUGAAACUCAAAGGGAAUUGACGGGGGGCCCCGCACAAGCGGUGGAGCAUGUGGUUUUAAUUCGAUGAUACGCGAGGAACCUUACCAGGGCUUAAAUG
This 193-nucleotide ribosomal RNA is filed under the name uncultured bacterium. RNAcentral describes it as "partial 16S ribosomal RNA". It matches the Rfam family "Bacterial small subunit ribosomal RNA", at positions 794 to 987 of the family's 1533-position model. The record is from RNAcentral.